GACGAACGCUGGCGGCGUGCUUAACACAUGCAAGUCGAACGGAAAGGCCCUGCUUUUGUGGGGUGCUCGAGUGGCGAACGGGUGAGUAACACGUGAGUAACCUGCCCUUGACUUUGGGAUAACUUCAGGAAACUGGGGCUAAUACCGGAUAGGAGCUCCUGCUGCAUGGUGGGGGUUGGAAAGUUUCGGCGGUUGGGGAUGGACUCGCGGCUUAUCAGCUUGUUGGUGGGGUAGUGGCUUACCAAGGCUUUGACGGGUAGCCGGCCUGAGAGGGUGACCGGCACAAUGGGGCUUGGGAAAGGGCCAGGGUGCAAAGGGGGGCAAGGGGGGGGAAUCUUUGCCAAAGGGGCGGAGGCUGGAUGGAGAAACGCCGGGUGGGGAAGGACGGCUGUCGGGUGUGAAACCCCUUCAGCUGGGACCGAAGGGGGAUGACGGUAAAGGGGAAAGAAGCACCGGCUAACUUCGUG
RNAcentral lists this ribosomal RNA (467 nucleotides) under uncultured bacterium. RNAcentral's name for it is "partial 16S ribosomal RNA". It matches the Rfam family "Bacterial small subunit ribosomal RNA", at positions 28 to 507 of the family's 1533-position model. The record is from RNAcentral.